This 96-nucleotide transfer RNA is filed under the name Chloroflexi bacterium ADurb.Bin325. Its description in RNAcentral is "tRNA-Ile". Lineage: Bacteria; Bacillati; Chloroflexota. The record is from RNAcentral.
ACCGGGCAUCCUGAGCGGGUGGACGGCUCGCCGUUGAUGUCGGCGCAGGGCCAGUCGAAGGACGCGGCUCCGGCGUUCUUGCCCUCUGGCUCGGUC